RNAcentral lists this long non-coding RNA (368 nucleotides) under Portunus trituberculatus (swimming crab). RNAcentral describes it as "uncharacterized LOC123513629, transcript variant X2". Lineage: Eukaryota; Metazoa; Arthropoda; Malacostraca; Decapoda; Portunidae. The record is from RNAcentral.
CUGCCAAGACGUCAUGGGACCUUGUCUCUUUAACCUCGCCAAACCUCGGAAGUGAGUUGGUUUUGGUGACUUGUCUCGGGUGUCAGUUCUCACCAUGGUGCUGUGAAUGGCAGUGGGAUGUAAUGUUCAUGAGGCAUAGCACUGUCUGUCUGUUUCUGCAGACAUGGAGGACUCAGGAGUGAAGUGUUGCAUGUGGCACAGUGUCACUCUGUGAUGCAGAGCUGUGGGUUUGAUGAUGAUGAUCUUGCUGUCAAGAUCAUCAUUGUUCAAGUCAGAAGCAAAGCUGUGGAUGACUCACUACUAAAGAAGCAUUGUUUGUUGCCUUAAUGUGAUAGGUCAUGAAUAGGUAAUGAAAACAACCACCGGUG